This 460-nucleotide ribosomal RNA is filed under the name uncultured bacterium. RNAcentral's name for it is "partial 16S ribosomal RNA". It matches the Rfam family "Bacterial small subunit ribosomal RNA", at positions 338 to 795 of the family's 1533-position model. The record is from RNAcentral.
CCUACGGGAGGCUGCAGUGAGGAAUAUUGGUCAAUGGCCGGAAGGCUGAACCAGCCAUGCCGCGUGAAGGUCAGUGCCCUAUGGGCGUUAAACUUCUUUUGUGCGGGAGCAAUAAUGGUCACGUGUGGCCAGACGAGAGUACCGUACGAAUAAGCAUCGGCUAACUCCGUGCCAGCAGCCGCGGUAAUAAGGGGGAUGCAAGCGUUAUCCGGAUUUAUGGGGUUUAAAGGGUGCGUAGGCUGUGAGGUAAGUCAGCGGUGAAAUGCCCCCGCUCAACGGGGUGAAGUGCCAUGGCGACUGGCUUGCUGGAAUGCGUAUGCCGUGGGAGGAAUGUGUGGUGUAGCGGUGAAAUGCAUAGAUAUCACACAGAACACCGAUUGCGAAGGCAUCUCACGAAUCCGCGAUUGACGCUGAUGCACGAAAGCGUGGGUAUCAAACAGGAUUAGAUACCCGGGUAGUC